RNAcentral lists this signal recognition particle RNA (314 nucleotides) under Nitrososphaerota archaeon. RNAcentral describes it as "signal recognition particle sRNA". It matches the Rfam family "Archaeal signal recognition particle RNA". Lineage: Archaea; Thermoproteati; Nitrososphaerota. The record is from RNAcentral.
UGGCGGGUAGGGCUGGGAGAUUAGCCGUCUCCCGAUAGACUGAAACCGGCUACAUGCAGAGGCCAGUAACUGUCGGGUAAAGCCAUCUCUCCUUCUACCUACGCACUCGGGCGGGUUGAAUUCACGCCGGAGCGGGUGGUCGUGAGGUGCAGGCUCCUCGAAGGAGGGGUUCUGACUCUUGAUUGCCGAACCGGGCGAGGUCCGGGAGGGAGCAGCCCUAAGGUGACGCGGUCACGCUGCUCCGUCUACGUGGAGGACUGCCUUCUGUGCGGGACUGGGGAAGGUCGGGAUGACGAACUCCGGCGGGUCUGCCA